GAGCUCAGGAUCAAAGUCAAGGUCAUGAGAAGCCUCUUGGACAACGAUCUCGCUUGGACAUUAGGCUGUGCCUUCUGCCCUGGGCGCUGCUUCUCCGCAUCUUUAACCUGGACGGGAGCCCACACCUGCUGGGAUGCCACUUUCCAGAACAUUCUUCUCCGUCACCCUCUGACCAAUGGUGUUGCAUUUACCGCCAGUCCGGCUGGACUAAUGGGGCACGUGACACCCAGGGAAGUGAGAUCACCUGUCCGAGCCCUUGGCUGGGGACUGGCGGGGUUUGAACUUGGAUCCAAAAACCCAGCUUCGGUGCCUGUGUCCCCUCAUUACCGAACCACAUUCCGCCCUUCUGUCUUUGAGUGGAUUUUCCAGGUCCUGGGUGGAUCCCAGGAAGGCCUCGCAGCUGGGUCACCUGCUCCUCCUCUGACCCCUCAGCCCAUCUCACUGUCCUUGUCUGGUGUGAAAGGGUCGCAGGGCAGGCAGGUGGCCUGUGCCAGUCUCCUUGUGGGGACCACCUUGCUGCCCAGCUGGGUACCUUGGCUUCCGGCUGGUGACCAAGCAUGGCUGAGGUCCCAGGCCUUGGCCGUUUGUGCCCAGCAGCCCUUGGACCUGUGCUGACCGGGGCUGCCCCAUGCUUUCUGCUUCCUCGUUUGCCUUCUUCGUCUCCUCCUGAGGGCAAAAGCUGGCCCCCGUCCUGUGUUUCUCUGGUCCUUAACUUCUUGGUUGGUGCUCUGCCCACAUUUGUAAUAAUGUACUAUUUAGAAAAUAGCAAGUAAAACAAAUUUUUGGGUAUGUUUUCUUUUUAUUGAGUUUAUUGGUACAUUCUAGGCAUACAGUACAGUUACAUUCAUCACUGGGAUCUUGUACCUUUACAUGACAGGUCUUGGUUCUCAUUUUGCCCCUUGUCCCUGCCCUCCCUUUACCCCCUCUCCCCCUCCCCAUUUACAGACACUUUAUUUCCAUUUUUCAUUUUCUCAUUUUUUUUCUUUUCCCUUAUUCCAUUUUCCCUACCCUUUCUACUUUCCCUACACCUUUAGCCCUUUUUGUCCUAUUUUUGUAUAUUUUCAUAUUUACU
This 1072-nucleotide long non-coding RNA is filed under the name Fukomys damarensis (Damara mole-rat). RNAcentral describes it as "lncRNA (ENSFDAG00000032442.1)". The record is from RNAcentral. Lineage: Eukaryota; Metazoa; Chordata; Mammalia; Rodentia; Bathyergidae.